Molecule: ribosomal RNA, 301 nt
Filed under: Thraustochytriidae sp.
Lineage: Eukaryota; Bigyra; Thraustochytrida; Thraustochytriidae
Description: SSU rRNA
Rfam family: Eukaryotic small subunit ribosomal RNA
Source: RNAcentral
UGGAGUGAUUUGUCUGGUUAAUUCCGUUAACGAACGAGACCACAGCCUACUAAAUAGUACGUGUUAUGGUAACAUAGUAUGAGACUUCGUAGAGGGACAUUUCGGGUUUACCGAAAGGAAGUUUGUGGCAAUAACAGGUCUGUGAUGCCUUAGACGUUCUGGGCCGCACGCGCGCUACACUGACGACUUCAACAAGUUUUUUUCUUUGAAAAAGUCCUUGGCUGGAAAGUCUGGGUAAUCUUUUAAACGGUCGUCGCGAUGGGGCUAGAUUCUUGCAAUUAUUAAUCUCCAACGAGGAACC